CAAGAGUGCAGCAGGGUCCAAUCAAACCUCCUGUCAUAAACUUUUUGGAUGCCCUUGGAGUGUAUCGUGGCCACGCUGAGAUUCUUGUAUCUUCUCUUGGCAUGAUGUUUUCUUUUGGCUCCAGGACCUUGAAGAUGCCAUCCUGUUACCUGGAACACUCAGAUGUCCUCCCUCUCCUUCUCUGCUCAAAGCUUCCUGUGGCCCACUCUGUCAGCCUUCUUAUCCCAGCUGAGUCAUGGCUCUUUUUAGAAAACCUUCUCGGACUUCAAGCCAAGCUGUUAUUGGAAUUUGCCGCCUGUGUUCAAUGGUCAAUGAUCUCCAAGUCACUGCAAUUUAACGUUCACCCUACUGAUGACUCUGACCUUGGUUUGGUCGAGGACAGCAUUGCUGCAUCUAUACUGUCAUCCUUAUCCACCUAAGCUCUUCAGCAUUUGGCAUAAGCCAUGGGUGUCUUGAUGGGUGACUAAUGAAGCAGACUACACAGCAUUUCUCACCUGUUUUAUUACUGUAUCAUUUAUCCUCUCCCAGAUAUCUUUAGAUACUGUUCACCUAAUUUCUCCUCCAUCUCCCCAUUAGAAUUCUAAUAACCCAGAUACAUGUCCAUUUAUGCACUGUGGCCCUUUGGAGGAUCACAAACCAUUACAUAAUAUCUCAGAUUUUAUAUAAUCUUAGAUUAUGUGAAUCUUUUUUUUUUUUUUGCUCCAUAGGAACCAAUUUUUACCUCCUUGUGGGCACUAUCACCCCCAGUGAGAAUGCAUGCAAUAAAAUAAAACUCUAUUUGUCCUCUUGAGAGGGAUAAGAAAAAAAAAUAGUUCCCACUCUUUAAUAAAAGAAUGUGGAUUAUUU
RNAcentral lists this long non-coding RNA (846 nucleotides) under Homo sapiens (human). Its description in RNAcentral is "HSALNT0326603". Lineage: Eukaryota; Metazoa; Chordata; Mammalia; Primates; Hominidae. The record is from RNAcentral.